UACGUAGGGUGCGAGCGUUAAUCGGAUUUACUGGGCGUAAAGCGUGCGCAGGCGGUGCUGUAAGACAGGUGUGAAAUCCCCGGGCUUAACCUGGGAACUGCAUUUGAGACUGCAUCGCUGGAGUGCGGCAGAGGGGGAUGGAAUUCCGCGUGUAGCAGUGAAAUGCGUAGAUAUGCGGAGGAACACCGAUGGCGAAGGCGAUCCCCUGGGCCUGCACUGACGCUCAUGCACGAAAGCGUGGGGAGCAAACAGG
RNAcentral lists this ribosomal RNA (253 nucleotides) under uncultured bacterium. RNAcentral describes it as "partial 16S ribosomal RNA". It matches the Rfam family "Bacterial small subunit ribosomal RNA", at positions 524 to 776 of the family's 1533-position model. The record is from RNAcentral.